Molecule: non-coding RNA, 119 nt
Organism: Pteropus alecto (black flying fox)
Lineage: Eukaryota; Metazoa; Chordata; Mammalia; Chiroptera; Pteropodidae
Source: Rfam
CUCUAUGGCCACGCCACCUUGAACAAGCCCCAUCCCAUCUGAUCUUGGAAGCUAAGCAGGGUCGGGCCUGGUCAGUACUUGGAUGGGAGACCACUUAGGAAGACCAGGGGCUGUAGGCG